AUGGGGAGGCAAUGGAAUACGUCGUGUUCAUCGGGAGCCAACCGGCUUGGACGGAACAGCCGAUCAAAACGAGGCCUGGCGUACCGCAGAACAGAGGAAACGACCUUGUGUUCGACCGGCCACGGUCGAAAUGGGAUCCUGUUCAUCGGGAGGGGUCUGGCGUAUCGCAAAACGGAGGAAACGGACUUCUCUUGGACCUCCUACGGUCGAAACGGGGUCCUGUUGAUCGGAAGGGGUGUGGCGUACCGCAAAACGGAGGAAACGGACUUGUGUUGGAGCGCUACGGUCGAAACGGGGGUCAUGUUCAUCAGGAGGAGUGUGGCGUACCGCAAAACGGGACUCCACGGGAUACUGUUCAUCUCCACCGUCGACCUCCUCCAGCCGCCACGGGCUACUGUUCAUCCACCGUUGACCUCCUCCAGCCUCCACCCGCGACUGUUCAUCCAUGGGCUCCUGUUCAUCCAGCCUCCACCGCUCCUCCACCGACUACUGUUCAACCAGCCCUCUCGACGGGGUCCUGUUCAACCACGCCUCCACGGGUUACUGUUCACCCAGCCCUCCACCGGCUACUGUUCAACCAUCCCUCCACGGGGUCCUGUUCAUCCAGCCCUCCAUGGGGUCUUGUUCAUCCACCCCCAACCGGCUCGAUCGGGGUCCUGUUCAUCCAGCGGCAACGGCCUCUACUACCACGGGGUCCUGUUCAUCCAACCCCCCACCGGGAACUGUCCAUCCACCCCCCCAACAACGCUCAAUGUUCAUCAAGAGGCAGCAUCGAUCGGCUUCAGUUAG
Molecule: ribosomal RNA, 789 nt
Filed under: Triticum aestivum (bread wheat)
Lineage: Eukaryota; Viridiplantae; Streptophyta; Magnoliopsida; Poales; Poaceae
Description: partial small subunit ribosomal RNA
Source: RNAcentral